RNAcentral lists this ribosomal RNA (424 nucleotides) under Funneliformis mosseae. RNAcentral's name for it is "eukaryotic LSU rRNA". It matches the Rfam family "Eukaryotic large subunit ribosomal RNA", at positions 348 to 634 of the family's 3401-position model. Lineage: Eukaryota; Fungi; Glomeromycota; Glomeromycetes; Glomerales; Glomeraceae. The record is from RNAcentral.
GUACCGUGAGGGAAAGAUGAAAAGAACUUUGAAAAGAGAGUUAAACAGUACGUGAAAUUGUUGAAAGGGAAACGAUUGAAGUCAGUCAUACCAACGGGAAAUCAACCUUUUGAGCUUGGUCUCGUGGGUUUUGAAGAGUUUCAAAGCCUUCGGAUUCGCGGGAUUGGGAUCUCUUGGUGUACUUUUUCGUACGGUUAGUCAACAUCGGUUUUGAAUGUCAUAAAAUGACUGGAGGAAUGUAGCUUCGAUCUCGUAUUGAAGUGUUAUAGCCUUUGGUAGAUGUGAUGUUUGAGACCGAGGAUUGCAACGGAUACCCUUCAGGGCUAUUCGUCUGAUCUCUGAUACGUUGCCCUGAUGUUGAAAGCUUGCUUAUGAUGUUAGGGUAUUACGGUCAAAAGGUUAGAACGAAUUACAUUCGUUAAGG